Molecule: ribosomal RNA, 1121 nt
Filed under: Tetrastemma pimaculatum
Lineage: Eukaryota; Metazoa; Nemertea; Enopla; Monostilifera; Tetrastemmatidae
Description: SSU rRNA
Rfam family: Eukaryotic small subunit ribosomal RNA
Source: RNAcentral
GUUGGAAAGAGCGCUUUUAUUAGAUCAAGACCAACCGGUAUCGCCUUCGGGUGUGCCGUCGGAUUGAUGACUCUGGAUAACCUUUGCCGAUCGUAUGGCCCCGAGCCGACGACGAAUCUUUCAAAUGUCUGCCCUAUCAACUUUCGUUGGUAGGUGAUUUGCCUACCAAGGUGUUUACGGGUAACGGGGGAUCAGGGUUCGAUCCCGGAGAGGGAGCAUGAGAAACGGCUACCACAUCCAAGGAAGGCAGCAGGCGCGCAAAUUACCCACUCUUAGCACGAGGAGGUAGUGACGAAAAAUAACAAUACGGGACUCUUUCGAGGCCCCGUAAUUGGAAUGAGUACACUCUAAACCCGUUAACGAGGAUCUAUUGGAGGGCAAGUCUGGUGCCAGCAGCCGCGGUAAUUCCAGCUCCAAUAGCGUAUAUUAAAGCUGUUGCAGUUAAAAAGCUCGUAGUCGGAUUUCGGGCGGCGGCCAAUGGUUCGGUUCCGUGCCGAUACUGCUGGUCGCGGCCUCCACGCCGGUCGUCCUUCGGUGCUCUUAACUGAGUGCCUUAGGUAGCCGGAGCGUUUACUUUGAAAAAAUUAGAGUGUUCAAGGCAGGCCUCGAGCCUGAAUGAUGGUGCAUGGAAUAAUGGAAUAGGACCUCGGUUCUAUUUUGUUGGUCUUCGGAACUGGAGGUAAUGAUUAAUAGGGACGGACGGGGGCAUUCGUAUUGCGGCGUUAGAGGUGAAAUUCUUGGAUCGUCGCAAGACGGACUACUGCGAAAGCAUUUGCCAAGAAUGUUUUCAUUGAUCAAGAGCGAAAGUCAGAGGAUCGAAGACGAUCAGAUACCGUCCUAGUUCUGACCAUAAACGAUGCCAACUAGCGAUCCGGCUCCGUUGCUUUAUAAGACUGGCCGGGCAGCUCCCGGGAAACCAAAGUCUAUGGGUUCCGGGGGAAGUAUGGUUGCAAAGCUGAAACUUAAAGGAAUUGACGGAAGGGCACCACCAGGAGUGGAGCCUGCGGCUUAAUUUGACUCAACACGGGAAAACUCACCCGGCCCGGACACCGUAAGGAUUGACAGAUUGAAAGCUCUUUCUUGAUUCGGUGGGUGGUGGUGCAUGGCCGUUCUUAGUUUGG